GAUGAACGCUGACAGAAUGCUUAACACAUGCAAGUCUUUGGCGAAGCUGUGCUUGCACAGCCUAGCCAAGGCGGACGGGUGAGUAACGCGUAAGGAACUUGCCCUGCAGUCAGGGAUAACAGACGGAAACGACUGAUAAGACCUGGUAAAGUCAGGCGGACUCAUGUCCAGCCUGAUGAAAAGAGAUGCUGCAGGAGAGCCUUGCGUCCUAUUAGCUUGUUGGUGGGGUAACGGCCCACCAAGGCGAUGAUAGGUAGCCGGCCUGAGAGGGUGGACGGCCACAAGGGGACUGAGAUACGGCCCUUACUCCUACGGGAGGCAGCAGUGGGGAAUAUUGGACAAUGGGGGCAACCCUGAUCCAGCAAUUCUGUGUGCACGAUGAAGGUUUCGGAUUGUAAAGUGCUUUCAGCAGGGAAGAAAAAAAUGACGGUACCUGCAGAAGAAGCGACGGCUAAAUACGUG
RNAcentral lists this ribosomal RNA (462 nucleotides) under uncultured bacterium. RNAcentral describes it as "partial 16S ribosomal RNA". It matches the Rfam family "Bacterial small subunit ribosomal RNA", at positions 28 to 507 of the family's 1533-position model. The record is from RNAcentral.